AUUGAACGCUGGCGGAAUGCUUUACACAUGCAAGUCGAACGGCAGCACGGGGGCAACCCUGGUGGCGAGUGGCGAACGGGUGAGUAAUACAUCGGAACGUGCCCAGUCGUGGGGGAUAACGUAGCGAAAGUUACGCUAAUACCGCAUACGAUCUACGGAUGAAAGCGGGGGACCGUAAGGCCUCGCGCGAUUGGAGCGGCCGAUGUCAGAUUAGGUAGUUGGUGAGGUAAAGGCUCACCAAGCCGACGAUCUGUAGCUGGUCUGAGAGGACGACCAGCCAAACGGGGAAUGAGACACGGCCCAGCCUCCUACUGGAGGCACCAGUGGGGAAUUUUGGACAAGGGGCGCAAGCCUGGUCCAGCCAUUCCGCGUGCAGGAUGAAGGCCCUCGGGUUGUAGACUGCUUUUGUACAGAACGAAAAGGUUUCUACUAAUACUAGGAGCUCAUGACGGUACUGUAAGAAUAAGCACCGGCUAACUACGUGCCAGCCGCCGCCGUAA
This 500-nucleotide ribosomal RNA is filed under the name uncultured bacterium. Its description in RNAcentral is "partial 16S ribosomal RNA". It matches the Rfam family "Bacterial small subunit ribosomal RNA", at positions 30 to 523 of the family's 1533-position model. The record is from RNAcentral.